GUGGGGAAUAUUGGACAAUGGGGGGAACCCUGAUCCAGCCAUGCCGCGUGUGUGAAGAAGGCCUUUUGGUUGUAAAGCACUUUAAGCGAGGAGGAGGCUACCGAGAUUAAUACUCUUGGAUAGUGGACGUUACUCGCAGAAUAAGCACCGGCUAACUCUGUGCCAGCAGCUGCGGUAAUACAGAGGGUGCAAGCGUUAAUCGGAUUUACUGGGCGUAAAGCGCGCGUAGGUGGCCAAUUAAGUCAAAUGUGAAAUCCCCGAGCUUAACUUGGGAAUUGCAUUCGAUACUGGUUGGCUAGAGUAUGGGAGAGGAUGGUAGAAUUCCAGGUGUAGCGGUGAAAUGCGUAGAGAUCUGGAGGAAUACCGAUGGCGAAGGCAGCCAUCUGGCCUAAUACUGACACUGAGGUGCGAAAGCAUGGGGAGCAAACAGGAUUAGAAACCCUAGUAGUCC
This 451-nucleotide ribosomal RNA is filed under the name uncultured bacterium. RNAcentral describes it as "partial 16S ribosomal RNA". It matches the Rfam family "Bacterial small subunit ribosomal RNA", at positions 354 to 796 of the family's 1533-position model. The record is from RNAcentral.